Protopterus annectens (West African lungfish) is the source of this 1466-nucleotide long non-coding RNA. RefSeq lists it as uncharacterized. The record is from RefSeq and is a predicted model, not a curated record. The transcript has 4 exons. NCBI's taxonomy places the organism in Eukaryota, Metazoa, Chordata, Ceratodontiformes, Protopteridae.
UGGGAUUCGCAGCUCCAGACAGUGGAGGACUACGAGUUGCGGAUUCUUGCCGAGUAAGCAGCCUCUCUCUGCAGGCUGCUGCAACAAAGCGGAAAGUUUGGCACGAAGCCAGUGGCAGGCAGCCUUUAGAAUUAGCUCAUUGUUCGAUCUGUACAUUGCAGGCUUUCAAACCCUAGAACUACAGACAAGAGGAGAAGAAAAUACGAUUGGGCUCCUUUUUACUAAAUGGCAGUAAUUGCACUCUCACCAAUUUGACCUCAGGAAAUUGUGAUUUCUAUCUUUUUUGCAGCCCCGCUCUUCGUUGCUCCAUCUGUACAUGCACAGAGACAAGGAAAGUGACAGAGAGCAACAGCGUUUGUCUAUUGGGGCACUUAUUGGACAGCACUGCUGAAGAAUACGAGAAUGGAUAAUGAGUCAGAAACAGCAGCUCAUAUAAGGGAUGGAUUGCCAGAAGCUAGCCACAGGAAUGGUGAUCUGCAAAUCCAAGUGGAAACUGAAGACAUGAACAAUAGGACCAAAGUUACAUUCCUAUCUCCAGCAAAUAGACUACAUAAUUUCCUCACAGUUUACCACCUAUUUUUUACUUAGUUAUGAAUUUUUCCAUUCAUUUUGAGUUUUUUAUAUGUGUGUGAUGAUGAGUUCAGCGCUUCAGUUAUUGAGGUUCUUGUAUGUAAAUCAUUAAUGUUUAGGAAUGUAUGGGACUCUAAGCCUUAAUGACUAGUACAGUGUACAAAAAGGAAAAAAGACUAAAAACAAAAUUCAGCAGUAUGAUCAAAGUGAAAUGCUCACAACUGCGCACUGUAAAUCCAUGUUUACAAGCACUACAGGGUGGGCCCUCAGGCCAUUUUUUGUACUGUGGCAGUGUCUUCCAUGUCUGUACAAGAGCACUGCUAUCAGUAAGCUUCCAUCUGUCUAGAGUCGCAACUCACAUCUGCUUAAUACAGUAACGUUUGCUGAGGCUGAGAGUCCCCCUUUUCAUUUAGAUGUAGCAAGCUUAGUCGCUUUUUUAAUUUCUGAUAAAUUGCCAGCAUAGCUCUAUAUUUUAGACAUGUACACUUUUAAAUGUAUAGAAGUAGUUGUUUGAAAUGCAUUGUUUCCUGGUGGUAGGUGACAAGAGAUGCUGCCACGGGAUAUGAGACACUGAUGAAUGGUGCUAUUUUGGACUUUUAACAUGCUUCUUGGCGAGGAAGCUCUGAUGGAGUAAUUUUAUUUCCACAUUCUAAGAAGGUGUUGGUUCUUUAUUUUCUGGCUGUUGUGACUUGGACUGAACUGACUUGUUUUUCCUUGUGUAUUUAGUGUGGCUUUCUGAAUUCAGUGCUGCAACACAAACAGCUGAUCCAGGGGUAUUGGGCACUACAGUGUAAUUUGGCUUGGUUUAUGCCAGUACAGCAGUUAAUGUGGGGCAAUUACAAAACUGUAACUUAAGUAAUCUCAUUAUGAUUGGCUGUACCUCCUAUUCAUAAUGU